GUGCCAGCAGCCGCGGUAAUACGGAGGGUCCAAGCGUUAUCCGGAUUCACUGGGUUUAAAGGGUGCGCAGGCGGUCUGGUAAGUCAGUGGUGAAAGCCUUCGGCUCAACCGGAGAAUUGCCAUUGAAACUACUAGACUUGAGUGUAGUUGAGGUGGGCGGAAUGUAGCAUGUAGCGGUGAAAUGCAUAGAUAUGCUACAGAACACCGAUAGCGAAAGCAGCUCACCAGACUACAACUGACGCUGAGGCACGAAAGCAUGGGUAGCAAACAGGAUUAGAAACCCCGGUAGUCC
This 292-nucleotide ribosomal RNA is filed under the name uncultured bacterium. Its description in RNAcentral is "partial 16S ribosomal RNA". It matches the Rfam family "Bacterial small subunit ribosomal RNA", at positions 505 to 796 of the family's 1533-position model. The record is from RNAcentral.